Loxodonta africana (African savanna elephant) is the source of this 1303-nucleotide long non-coding RNA. RefSeq lists it as uncharacterized. The record is from RefSeq and is a predicted model, not a curated record. The transcript is spliced from 3 exons. NCBI's taxonomy places the organism in Eukaryota, Metazoa, Chordata, Mammalia, Proboscidea, Elephantidae.
GUUGGGUGAUGCAGGCUUUGGAACUGCCAGAAUGUGCUAAAAGGCCCUGGGCAUUGAAAAACCAGCCAACAAACAUACAAUGAGCAUUAAGUCCUGGGUCUGCUGCUGACAACCCUUCCCCUCUUCUGCUUCUCACAUUGCCACCUGUAGAUCCAUUUUUGGGGUGACAAGAGGCUGCUCCUUUGUUUGAGAGAAAAAGAGGGAAAGGAGAGAAGACAGAAGAGAAGAGCAGAGCGAUUAGUUGUAAAGAUCCCUGCAUAUCUGGCUGUGUGAACGGGGGUAGGUCAUCUGUCACACAGCCCCUAUGGGCCUCAGUUUGCUUAUCUACAAAGAAAGGAUAUCGGACUCUAUGAUCUUUAAGGUCUCCUCCGGCAUCAAAGUUCUACGUUCUAUAGUAUCUUAUAAACAGCUUCCCAGGGAAGUGUUAUCGCCAGAGGCUACGGUUAAAAUCCAAGUAUGUUUCCUGUGAAGGAAAUUCCACUGACACUCGUACCUUAGGUCAAAUAUGUUUACAAGAUACACUUGAUAUUUUGAGGAUCCAGGACACAGGCUUGGUUCAUUUUUAUUGGAGGUAGAGAGAGGAGCAUUCUGGAGAAAGGGCUGCUGACUGAGGAUUGAGUGAUAUCCAGUGGAGGGUCCUCGGCCUGCCGUCUCAUAUGAAAGGUGGUUGUUGUUGUUAGGUGCCAUAGAGUUGGUUCUGACUCAUAGUGACCCCAUGAACAACGGAACCAAACACUGCCUGGUCUUGCACCAUCCUCACAAUCGUUGUUAUGCUUGCGCCCAUUGUUUUAGCCACUGUGUCAAUCCAUCUCAUUGAGGGUCUUUCUCUUUUUCACAGACCCUCCACUUUACCAAGCAUGAUGGAUGUCCUUCUGCAGGGACUGAUCUCUCCUAAUAACUUCUGAAAGACUCACAGACGAUCAGAAGAGGGAGCGAGUUCCUUAGAGCUCAUCAGACCGGUGUUUUCAGAGUAUGGCGGAUGGACCACCUGCCUCAGACUUAGGAGCUAUGUGGAAUAAGGCUAAGGACCUAUCAAUCAACCCAGGAAUGACUGAUUAUUGGAGAACAGAAGAUUCUCUGUAAGUUUACCCUUUAUAUUAAUCCAUGAAAAAAAUCCCUAGAAUUUUGUGGUCAAAUGUGGCUUUAAGUGAACAGAUAAGAGCCCAAGUAAAUGGGAGCACUCCUCCAUUCCUAAGGGAAGUUGGUGAACUGCCCACAUAAUUUGCUGAUAAAGGCCCAUCUGUUAAAACAAAGUACCGCAGCAUUGGCAAUACAUUUCAGCCAGAGACCAUAAGUGGAUAUU